RNAcentral lists this long non-coding RNA (438 nucleotides) under Rattus norvegicus (Norway rat). Its description in RNAcentral is "long non-coding RNA NONRATT015374". Lineage: Eukaryota; Metazoa; Chordata; Mammalia; Rodentia; Muridae. The record is from RNAcentral.
CCGUGCUUCCGUUCACUCAUCUGUCAUGGGGGUUAAUGAUCUAAUGAAGUGGCCGCUGAGGUAGAAUUCUGGCAUACUGCUGCCAGUGCCAGUCCAUGUGAUGACCUCCCAGCCCAGAAGUCCGGACUGUUGGAAAAGCUGUGUCCCAGGAGGAAUGUGAUAAGAAAGUCACCUGAUCAGAGGUGUAAGGUGGAGAAACAACGGAGCCCGAGGAGUCCCCUUGGCUUUCGGCCCUCACACUGAAAAGCAUCAUGAACCAGAUUCCAGCACAGAACCACUUCUGCUGAAGACUGCAGUGCUGUUGGGGAGAGAGGAAUGAUCUCCAAGAAAUGCCUGUUCAUCAUCUGUCUCUCUAUAUCCAUUUCUGCCUAAGUGUCUAAAACUCUAAUCAUACUGGAUGCUGUGUGAUAUACACUCCAAGAACAGAAAAACGAUAAG